AUUGCCUGUUUUGUAGUAGAGAGAUGCUUCUCAGGACGUCGUGGGAUCACACUGUUCAGACUGAUUUCCAACAGGCACAGCGUGAAUUGUACAGUAACUUGUUAAGAGGUCACCUAGACGUUCUCUUAGGUUCCUUUCUCCUACAGAAGCUAAGGGGACCGUCUGUUAAAAACUCCAUGGAGCCAUAAAAUGGCAGAACAUUUUGUCCAGGAUUCCUCUGCAGUGAGAUGAUUCCCUCCACCUGAUCUGUAUGCCACCUGACCCUCACCUUGUAUCAUUCUGUGAGAAAAAAGGAACACCAAAGAUGAUUUGUUGGUUUUCCAGUGCAAGAGUGAUCCCUCCUUCGUUUUUACCAAAAAGAGGGCUAUUUAACUGGAUACCAGGAGAAGCAAAUUGCUGAUCCAGUCAUGGAUGUUUUACCCCAUUAUUUAGUUCCACUCUACAUGGAAUUUAUUUGGAAGAUUCUCAAUGCACUUGCAUUCAAACAUAAAGACCUAAUGACUCUCAUUGCAGCAGUAUUCCUCUUGUAUUGUUAUUUUCUUAACUUCGGAUUUCCUCCAUUUCUGCACUUUUUGCCAUCUGGAAUUUCAUUUGCAAGGGCAGAUAAGGGGAAAAGAAUGUAAUAAGAGACGAGGAAAAAUAUAAGCCCUUGCUGAAUGAUUGAUAUGAAUGAAGGAACUGAUGGAAUAAAUAACAAAAAUAAAAAGAUCCAGGACUACUCUCAGUCUCUGAAGCAGGUGGGAGCCCUGGCGGUAGCUAUGGGUCCAGUUCAAAGGAUUAUGAAAUGCACUGCUUUCACAUCAAAAAGG
Homo sapiens (human) is the source of this 809-nucleotide long non-coding RNA. RefSeq lists it as uncharacterized. The record is from RefSeq and is a predicted model, not a curated record. Lineage: Eukaryota; Metazoa; Chordata; Mammalia; Primates; Hominidae. The transcript has 6 exons.